Parus major (Great Tit) is the source of this 389-nucleotide long non-coding RNA. RefSeq lists it as uncharacterized. NCBI's taxonomy places the organism in Eukaryota, Metazoa, Chordata, Aves, Passeriformes, Paridae. The record is from RefSeq and is a predicted model, not a curated record. The transcript is spliced from 3 exons.
CUCUUCUUAUUUAUCCCUAUGGUCAACAGAUCAGACAAUCAGGAUACUGGGACUGAGCAGUGUCUUCACUUGGACCCCCUGGAAGUUUGGGAAAUGUUGCUGUAUCAAUGUGCAGCUGGAGAAGCCAAAGCCUCUGAAGCAGAGCAGGCGCACUCAGAACUGGACAAGCUGGAGCAAGAGCUUCAAGCUGAGAUGGUUGAAGUUGCUCUGGAAUCACUGCAAGAGGAUCUGCAGCUCUGAUCCUUUGAGGAGCAAAUGCUGGAGGUGCUUUGCCUCUUGAAGCCCAACAAUAAGCAGCAGUAAAUAUGCAAUUCUGUGUGCAAUGUGUCUGUUCCUGUGGAAGGUGAAUUUUUUUAAAAUUCAAUUACACAUAAAUAUAAAUAAAGCAA